UUAACCCCACAAUCUUAGUAAUUUGUCAGAGCACCUACUUAGACAAAUUUUAGAGAGGAAUACAACUCUAAUCAUACUUUCUAACCACCUCUUAAAAUUGGGAGACCUCUAGGGCCCCGUUUGGUCCACGAAAAAAUGGUCAUGAAAAAUGUUUAUUUAAUAUUAACUCAUUUUCCCAAACUUUCCCAUGAGGAGGGAAAACAAAACCCAAGUUUAGAGGAUGGCUGCACUUUCCCUCCUACUUUCUCAGGGGCUAAGCAACGAUUUUCCAUGUCUGGACUUACUAAACAUGGGAAAGAAAUUGAUUUCUCAUCCCCAAGUCUCUUUUCCUAUGAACCAAAUGGGGCCUAGGAGCUCCUAAAUCUGAGGAGAGAUAAAGGACUCCUAGUGGCUACCUAUAAUUUAAUGCCACUUUGUUUUAUGAAUAUUUUAAUAUUUUAAUUCAUAGUAAUUUUUUUUAUUUUUUAUUUUUAGAUAUGG
Molecule: long non-coding RNA, 480 nt
Filed under: Prunus persica (peach)
Lineage: Eukaryota; Viridiplantae; Streptophyta; Magnoliopsida; Rosales; Rosaceae
Description: long non-coding RNA (PPER_LNC006535)
Source: RNAcentral